GAUGAACGCUGGCGGCGUGCCUAAUACAUGCAAGUCGAGCGAACGGACGAUAAGCUUGCUUCUCUGAUGUUAGCGGCGGACGGGUGAGUAACACGUGGAUAACCUACCUAUAAUACUGGGAUAACUUCGGGAAACCGGAUCUAAUACCGGAUAAUAUUUUGAACCGCAUGGUUCAAAAGUGAAAUACGGUCUUUCUGUCACUUAUAGAUGGAUCCGCGCUGCAUUAUGUGGUUGGUAAGUUAACAGCUUAUCAAGGGUAGGAUGCAUAGCCGAGCUGAGAGGGGGAUCGGCCACACAGGAAGUGAGACGCGAUACAGACUCUGACGUGAGGCAGCAGUAGGGAAGGUACCGAAAAGGGCGGAAGCCUGACGGAGGAACGCAGCGUGAGUGAAGAAGGUCUUCGGAUGGUAAAACUCUGUUAUGGGUGAAGAACAUAUGUGUAAGUAACUGUGCACAUCUGGACGGUACCUAAUCAGAAAGCCACGGCUAACUACGU
Molecule: ribosomal RNA, 496 nt
Filed under: uncultured bacterium
Lineage: Bacteria
Description: partial 16S ribosomal RNA
Rfam family: Bacterial small subunit ribosomal RNA
Source: RNAcentral